Molecule: transfer RNA, 76 nt
Filed under: Alteromonas sp.
Lineage: Bacteria; Pseudomonadati; Pseudomonadota; Gammaproteobacteria; Alteromonadales; Alteromonadaceae
Also listed under: 56 other names
Description: tRNA-Lys
Rfam family: tRNA
About the family: Transfer RNA (tRNA) molecules are approximately 80 nucleotides in length. Their secondary structure includes four short double-helical elements and three loops (D, anti-codon, and T loops).
Source: RNAcentral
GGGUCGUUAGCUCAGCUGGUAGAGCAGUUGACUUUUAAUCAAUUGGUCGCUGGUUCGAAUCCAGCACGACCCACCA